UUACAGCCAUAUCAUGUUGAAACACCGGUUUUCAUAUGAUCACCAAAGUUAAGCAAUGUUGAGCCUAGUCAGUACCUAGAUGGGUGAAAGUUUGGAAAUACCAAGUGCUGUAAG
This is a non-coding RNA of Acanthosepion pharaonis, 114 nucleotides long. Lineage: Eukaryota; Metazoa; Mollusca; Cephalopoda; Sepiida; Sepiidae. The record is from the annotation of a GenBank genome assembly.